MicroRNA precursor from Gorilla gorilla gorilla (western lowland gorilla), 58 nucleotides. NCBI's taxonomy places the organism in Eukaryota, Metazoa, Chordata, Mammalia, Primates, Hominidae. The record is from Ensembl.
AAAGUAAUUGCUGUUUUUGCCAUUACUUUUAAAUGGCAAAAACCGUAAUUACUUUUGC